UACGUAGGCAGCGAGCGUUGUUCGGAGUUACUGGGCGUAAAGAGUGCGUAGGCGGUUUUCUAAGUUUGGUGUGAAAUCUCCCGGCUCAACUGGGAGGGUGCGCCGAAGACUGGAAGGCUUGAGUAUGGGAGAGGUAAGCGGAAUUCCUGGUGUAGCGGUGAAAUGCGUAGAUAUCAGGAGGAACCCCAGAGGCGAAGGCGGCCCCCUGGCUCGUACCUGACGCUCAGCCACGAAAGCAUGGGGAGCGAACGGG
RNAcentral lists this ribosomal RNA (253 nucleotides) under uncultured bacterium. RNAcentral's name for it is "partial 16S ribosomal RNA". It matches the Rfam family "Bacterial small subunit ribosomal RNA", at positions 524 to 776 of the family's 1533-position model. The record is from RNAcentral.